GAUGAAGAACGUAGCGAAAUGCGAUAAGUAAUGUGAAUCGCAGAAUUCAGUGAAUCAUCGAAUCUUUGAACGCACAUUGCGCCCGCCAGUAUUCUGGCGGGCAUGCCUGUUCGAGCGUCAUUACAACCCUCAGGCCCCCGGGCCUGGCGUUGGGGAUCGGCGGAAGCCCCCUGCGGGCACAACGCCGUCCCCCAAAUACAGUGGCGGUCCCGCCGCAGCUUCCAUUGCGUAGUAGCUAACACCUCGCAACUGGAGAGCGGCGCGGCCACGCCGUAAAACACCCAACUUCUGAAUGUUGACCUCGAAUCAGGUAGGAAUACCCGCUGAACUUAAGCAUAUCAAUAAGCGGAGGA
This 353-nucleotide unclassified non-coding RNA is filed under the name soil metagenome. RNAcentral describes it as "partial contains 5.8S ribosomal RNA, internal transcribed spacer 2, and large subunit ribosomal RNA". The stretch from base 1 to 120 matches the Rfam family "5.8S ribosomal RNA", at positions 35 to 154 of the family's 154-position model. The record is from RNAcentral.